AACGAACGCUGGCGGCAGGCCUAACACAUGCAAGUCGAGCGAGGACUUCGGUCCUAGCGGCGGACGGGUGAGUAACGCGUGGGAACGUGCCCUUUGCUUCGGAAUAGCCCUGGGAAACUGGGAGUAAUACCGGAUGAGCCCUUUGGGGGAAAGAUUUAUCGGCGAAGGAUCGGCCCGCGUUGGAUUAGGUAGUUGGUGGGGUAAUGGCCUACCAAGCCGACGAUCCAUAGCUGGUUUGAGAGGAUGAUCAGCCACACUGGGACUGAGACACGGCCCAGACUCCUACGGGAGGCAGCAGUGGGGAAUCUUAGACAAUGGGGGAAACCCUGAUCUAGCCAUGCCGCGUGAGCGAUGAAGGCCUUAGGGUUGUAAAGCUCUUUCAGCUGGGAAGAUAAUGACGGUACCAGCAGAAGAAGCCCCGGCUACUCCGUG
This 432-nucleotide ribosomal RNA is filed under the name uncultured bacterium. Its description in RNAcentral is "partial 16S ribosomal RNA". It matches the Rfam family "Bacterial small subunit ribosomal RNA", at positions 29 to 507 of the family's 1533-position model. The record is from RNAcentral.